This 359-nucleotide long non-coding RNA is filed under the name Helianthus annuus (common sunflower). Its description in RNAcentral is "hypothetical non coding rna". The record is from RNAcentral. Lineage: Eukaryota; Viridiplantae; Streptophyta; Magnoliopsida; Asterales; Asteraceae.
AUGGUCCAUAAUGAUGUGAUUGUGGCAAAGAGUCCGGUUCAUCUAGCGGACAAGCCGGAGGGAGUUCACGAGGAAAAGACGCGCUCUAAAAGUUCUCAGGUACUCAAGUAAAGGAUGAAGGUCAAGCAAGCGAGCCGAACCGAACACACAAUCUUCUAGAACGCUUCCGCAAUUAUGACUUUUGUUUUAGAUACUAAGUAAACUAAUGGUAGUUACCGUCUUGUAUGGGAUUUUAUAACAACAAUACAUGUAUGUUGUAAAAUUUUGGGUUUAUACUAUGAAAGUUUUUGUAAAGUCGUCAUUUUGGCGUUAAAUGCAAGGUUUUUAGGUUGUUAAAUUUGGUAAUAUAAACUGGGUCU